UACGUAGGGUGCGAGCGUUGUCCGGAUUUAUUGGGCGUAAAGGGCUCGUAGGUGGUUGAUCGCGUCGGAAGUGUAAUCUUGGGGCUUAACCCUGAGCGUGCUUUCGAUACGGGUUGACUUGAGGAAGGUAGGGGAGAAUGGAAUUCCUGGUGGAGCGGUGGAAUGCGCAGAUAUCAGGAGGAACACCAGUGGCGAAGGCGGUUCUCUGGGCCUUUCCUGACGCUGAGGAGCGAAAGCGUGGGGAGCGAACAGGA
This 254-nucleotide unclassified non-coding RNA is filed under the name plant metagenome. Its description in RNAcentral is "partial contains 5.8S ribosomal RNA, internal transcribed spacer 2, and large subunit ribosomal RNA". It matches the Rfam family "Bacterial small subunit ribosomal RNA", at positions 524 to 777 of the family's 1533-position model. The record is from RNAcentral.